ACGCACGCUGGCGGCGUGCUUAACACAUGCAAGUCGAACGGGCCCGCUCUCUUUUUUGGGGGUGGGUUGAGUGGCGAACGGGUGAGUAUCACGUGAGUAACCUGCCCCCUGCUCCUGGAUAACUGCUUGAAAGGGCGGCUAAUACGGGGUGUGCCGGCUGGUCCGCAUGGGCCUGGUCGGGAUAGUUUCAUCUUCGGGUGUUUCGGUGGGGGAUGGGCUCGCGGCCUAUCAGCUUGUUGGUGGGGUGAUGGCCCACCAAGGCGGUGACGGGUAGCCGGCCUGAGAGGGUGGGCGGCCACACUGGGACUGAGACACGGCCCAGACUCCUGCGGGAGGCAGCAGUGGGGGGUAUUGCACAAUGGGCGGAGGCCUGAUGCAGCGACGUCGCGUGAGGGAUGGAGGCCUUCGGGUUGUGAACCUCUUUCUCCGGUGGUGAAGGCCCUGUCCGUUGCGGCGGGGUUGACGGUAGCCGGGUAUGAAGCGCCGGCUAACUACGUG
RNAcentral lists this ribosomal RNA (498 nucleotides) under uncultured bacterium. RNAcentral's name for it is "partial 16S ribosomal RNA". It matches the Rfam family "Bacterial small subunit ribosomal RNA", at positions 29 to 507 of the family's 1533-position model. The record is from RNAcentral.